RNAcentral lists this ribosomal RNA (585 nucleotides) under uncultured bacterium. Its description in RNAcentral is "partial 16S ribosomal RNA". It matches the Rfam family "Bacterial small subunit ribosomal RNA", at positions 355 to 937 of the family's 1533-position model. The record is from RNAcentral.
UGGGGAAUUUUGGACAAUGGGCGAAAGCCUGAUCCAGCAAUGCCGCGUGUGUGAAGAAGGCCUUCGGGUUGUAAAGCACUUUUGUCCGGAAAGAAAUGGCUCUGGUUAAUACCUGGGGUCGAUGACGGUACCGGAAGAAUAAGGACCGGCUAACUACGUGCCAGCAGCCGCGGUAAUACGUAGGGUCCAAGCGUUAAUCGGAAUUACUGGGCGUAAAGCGUGCGCAGGCGGUUGUGCAAGACCGAUGUGAAAUCCCCGAGCUUAACUUGGGAAUUGCAUUGGUGACUGCACGGCUAGAGUGUGUCAGAGGGGGGUAGAAUUCCACGUGUAGCAGUGAAAUGCGUAGAGAUGUGGAGGAAUACCGAUGGCGAAGGCAGCCCCCUGGGAUAACACUGACGCUCAUGCACGAAAGCGUGGGGAGCAAACAGGAUUAGAUACCCUGGUAGUCCACGCCCUAAACGAUGUCAACUAGUUGUUGGGGAUUCAUUUCCUUAGUAACGUAGCUAACGCGUGAAGUUGACCGCCUGGGGAGUACGGUCGCAAGAUUAAAAGCUCAAAGGAAUUGACGGGGUCAUAGCUGUUUCC